Molecule: ribosomal RNA, 436 nt
Filed under: uncultured Clostridium sp.
Lineage: Bacteria; Bacillati; Bacillota; Clostridia; Eubacteriales; Clostridiaceae
Description: partial 16S ribosomal RNA
Rfam family: Bacterial small subunit ribosomal RNA
Source: RNAcentral
ACGGAAGGCAGCAGUGGGGAAUAUUGGGCAAUGGGCGAAAGCCUGACCCAGCGACGCCGCGUGAGCGAAGAAGGUCUUCGGAUUGUAAAGCUCUGUUGACAGGGACGAAGAAGUGACGGUACCUGUCGAGGAAGCCACGGCUAACUACGUGCCAGCAGCCGCGGUAAUACGUAGGUGGCAAGCGUUAUCCGGAUUUACUGGGUGUAAAGGGAGCGUAGACGGCUUUGCAAGUCUGAAGUGAAAGCCCGGGGCUCAACCCCGGAACUGCUUUGGAAACUGUAGAGCUAGAGUGCAGGAGAGGUAAGUGGAAUUCCUAGUGUAGCGGUGAAAUGCGUAGAUAUUAGGAGGAACACCAGUGGCGAAGGCGGCUUACUGGACUGUAACUGACGUUGAGGCUCGAAGGCGUGGGGAGCAAACAGGAUUAGAUACCCUGGUA